Molecule: ribosomal RNA, 464 nt
Filed under: uncultured bacterium
Lineage: Bacteria
Description: partial 16S ribosomal RNA
Rfam family: Bacterial small subunit ribosomal RNA
Source: RNAcentral
CUACGGGUGGCUCCAGUGAGGAAUUUUGCGCAAUGGGGGAAACCCUGACGCAGCAACGCCGCGUGAGCGAAGAAGGCCCUCGGGUCGUAAAGCUCUGUCAAGUGGGAAAAAAAUUUUUUGAUCAAUAGUCAAAAGACUUGAUGGUACCACUGGAGGAAGCACCGGCUAACUCCGUGCCAGCAGCCGCGGUAAUACGGAGGGUGCAAGCGUUGUUCGGAUUUACUGGGCGUAAAGAGCGUGUAGGCGGUUUAGCAAGUCAGAUGUGAAAGCCCUGGGCUCAACCCGGGAAGUGCAUUUGAAACUGCUUCACUUGAGUAUGGGAGAGGAGAUUGGAAUUCCUGGUGUAGAGGUGAAAUUCGUAGAUAUCAGGAGGAACACCCGUGGCGAAGGCGAUUCUCUGGACCAAUACUGACGCUGAGACGCGAAAGCGUGGGGAGCAAACAGGAUUAGAUACCCGAGUAGUC